This is a long non-coding RNA of Alligator sinensis (Chinese alligator), 446 nucleotides long. RefSeq lists it as uncharacterized. The transcript has 3 exons. The record is from RefSeq and is a predicted model, not a curated record. NCBI's taxonomy places the organism in Eukaryota, Metazoa, Chordata, Crocodylia, Alligatoridae.
GCAUGCUACUGCCAGUAAACACAGCACAGUAGUAAUCGGCUUCAUCUUCAGCUUGGACCCUGGUGAUGGUCAAGGCAGCCUUCUGACCGGAAAUGGAUCCCAAGAACCGGGUGGGGAUCCCAGAGGGUCUGUGAAAGUAACCUCUUCCAGGAAAGCCACAGCAUGAAUGCUCCUUGCUCAUCUGAGAUAUAUGUGAGCAGUGCAAGAAGAAGCGGGGCCCAGGCCAUGGUGGGAAUCCAGACCAGCUCAGCUUCUUCAGGCAAACAGGCCUGGCUGGGACCCUCCAAGUCUCUCUUAAAUACCCACAGCUGGAGAACAGCUCCUUUAUGCAAACAGACUUCCUGUUCGGUGGAUGCAGAGCAUGCCCUAGAGAAGGUAUCAAGCAAACACAUUGGCGUAUCUGCCUCUGGCUGCCCAGCCUCUGCAAUUCAUAACACCUGGUGUAA